RNAcentral lists this unclassified non-coding RNA (374 nucleotides) under Hevea brasiliensis (rubber tree). The record is from RNAcentral. Lineage: Eukaryota; Viridiplantae; Streptophyta; Magnoliopsida; Malpighiales; Euphorbiaceae.
GGUAAAAAAGUUAGUCAAACCACUGGAGGUGGUGCAAGUAAUAAAAUGGGCAAGGUUCCUGCAUUUUGAUGGAAGAGUGCGAAUAAAGAAGUUAGUCUAGGAGAAUAGGGUUGGAACAUAUAAUCGUUGAUUGGAAAGUCAAUGGAGCUCGUGGAUACUAUGAAGAGGAGGGUUUACAUAGCUUGUUUUAAAGAAACUAAUUGGACGGGGUGAGAAAAGCUAGAGAUUGGUAACACCAGUUAUAAAUUGUGGUACUCUGGGUUGAGAAGAAUAGAAAUGGGGUAGGAGUCAUGGUAGAACCAUGACUCAAAUCAUAUGGUGGAAGUGAAGAGAAUUAGUGAUAGAAUUAUCUCCUUGAAAUUAGCAUUGGAAAA